This is a long non-coding RNA of Mytilus californianus (California mussel), 232 nucleotides long. RefSeq lists it as uncharacterized. The record is from RefSeq and is a predicted model, not a curated record. The transcript has 2 exons. NCBI's taxonomy places the organism in Eukaryota, Metazoa, Mollusca, Bivalvia, Mytilida, Mytilidae.
UUACAAAUAAACCCGUGUCGGAAAUAACAUAUUACCGGGUAUAAAGAAUAAACAUGCCUUCGGUGAUUCAAGUUAGUUUGAAAUAAUAAGAGAUGCUGUAGUUACAAGUGACUUAUGUGCAACAGAGACCACAAUAUGGAACUACUGUGCAAGAUACCUAAAAUAUGCCCCUGUUAUAUCUGGGAAUGUGUCUAGCAGAAGGACUAAACUUUUAAAUAAAAUUAAUUGUUCA